This 454-nucleotide ribosomal RNA is filed under the name uncultured bacterium. Its description in RNAcentral is "bacterial SSU rRNA". It matches the Rfam family "Bacterial small subunit ribosomal RNA", at positions 28 to 521 of the family's 1533-position model. The record is from RNAcentral.
AGCGAACGCUAGCGGCGGGCCUAACACAUGCAAGUCGAGCGCAUACCUUCGGGUAUGAGCGGCGGACGGGUGAGUAACGCGUAGGUCAUCUACCCUUUGGUGGGGGAUAACCCAGGGAAACUUGGGCUAAUACCGCACGAGGUCUACGGAUCAAAGCCUUCGGGCGCCAGAGGAUGAGCCUGCGUCGCAUUACCUAGUUGGCGGGGUAACGGCCCACCAAGGGGACGAUGCGUAGCUGGUCUGAGAGGAUGAUCAGCCACACUGGGACUGAGACACGGCCCAGACUCCUACGGGAGGCAGCAGUGGGGAAUAUUGCGCAAUGGGGGAAACCCUGACGCAGCCACGCCGCGUGGGUGAUGAAGGCCUUCGGGUUGUAAAGCCCUGUCGGGAGGGACGAAUUCUUGACGGUACCUCCAAAGAAAGCACCGGCUAACUCCGUGCCAGCAGCCGCGGU